RNAcentral lists this ribosomal RNA (254 nucleotides) under uncultured bacterium. RNAcentral's name for it is "partial 16S ribosomal RNA". It matches the Rfam family "Bacterial small subunit ribosomal RNA", at positions 524 to 776 of the family's 1533-position model. The record is from RNAcentral.
UACGGGGGGGGCAAGCGUUGUUCGGAAUUACUGGGCGUAAAGGGCUCGUAGGUGGCCAACUAAGUCAGACGUGAAAUCCCUCAGCUUAACUGGGGAACUGCGUCUGAUACUGGAUGGCUUGAGUUUGGGAGAGGGAUGCGGAAUUCCAGGUGUAGCGAUGAAAUGCGUAGAUAUCAGGAGGAACACCGGUGGCGAAGGCGGGUCUCUGGGCCGGAUACUGACGCUGAGGAGCGAAAGCGUGGGGAGCAAACAGG